Non-coding RNA from Schizosaccharomyces pombe (fission yeast), 1461 nucleotides. The record is from the annotation of a GenBank genome assembly. NCBI's taxonomy places the organism in Eukaryota, Fungi, Ascomycota, Schizosaccharomycetes, Schizosaccharomycetales, Schizosaccharomycetaceae.
AAUAUUUUGAUCAGGGAAAAAAAACACCAUAAAUAGUAUGGUUUUGUCUCACUAGAUUCUUUCUUCCGAGACGUCUUCGGUUUCUGAUGUCAUAGUGGAUGCCAGUGAGACAGUUGGAUAUGGAGUUAGGAUAUUUCGCACUCUUCGUCCGUUUUGGUAAUAUGGCAAAGAUACGUUAGUUGACAUGCUAGUUUCAGAAGCACGUUUCUGGAGGCCGGGACCACUGGGUUCUAGGUCGGUCAGUAUUGUGGUUUCAUCUUCAACGAUUCCCAAAGGAGAAUCAGUGAGGGUGGUACGGUUGGCUGCCUGAUGGCUUGGUGCUUCCAUAUUUUCCUCAAUAGUGACUUUGGUUUGAUGCGAUCCUUGGGAAUCUUUAACAUUCGUAUAAUGGUAGGGUUGAUGUGAUUGUUGAAUUCCUUGCAACAAUUUUUCAUUCAACGCAUUCAGUCUGUCGGAAGCUUGGAUAUCAGACUUAUGCGGCGUUCUGUCAAAAGAAUAACCAGAAGCCUCUGUUCCCAUGGGAGUUUGGGGGAAACUCUCUCUCAAAUAUUCCAUUGAAUAUUCAUUUGGAGUUACUUGUUUCAUUACAUAUUCCUGAUUUACAAGGGAUGUAGUUGAAAGAUUCGAAGCAGCAUCAGCGUCUGGCUUAAGUAGCCCUGAUUUUACUUUUCUGAAAUUGGGACCUCCAUUGACAAAGGAGAUAGAUGUAGAAGAGCUCUCGUAAUGGUACGGGGGUCGUUUUGGAGGAAGCUCCGUUACCGGUUUUUCGUAUGUGAAUCCUUUAUCCUUAUUUGAACUGGAAAACUCAUCUUCAUGUUGAUGAUGAUGAAUGUCUUCAAUGUCUGCAAAGCUUUCGGUCAUUGGAAGCAUUUGGGAAUCAGCUAACUCUGAUCCUUCUUCGUCAUUAUUUCGUGAAUUGUAGUAACCCGUAAAGCUAGCAUCUUUAUCUGCUUCUUCUUCAUCGUGGCCGCUCUCUUCUCUUUCCAUGUAAGUGCCAAAAUAGUCACUAGAAUCAUGAGUUUCAUAAAGUUCGUUAGUUAGAUGUGAGUAUAAUGAGGGCUUUUCCUCAUCAUUUUGUCCGUCGAACGGUUUGCUAAUGGAGUGGGCAAAUACAUCCUCUCCCUUAAAUUUUUUAUUUUCAAAGUGCUUUAGAGGCUUUUCUGAUUGUUGCAAAUUCGACUCAUUUUGAGUGGGUAAAGACGAAGAAGGAGGUGCCGGAGAAUAUGCACCAGGAAUGUGAGAUUCCAAAUCUUUAUCCAACACUUCUCUGCUAUUCUGAGCAAGCAUCUUUAAAUUAAAGAUAUUUUAUGACUUUAUAAACUUUUUUGUUCUUUUCUUUGAUAAAAUUUUAUAUCUCAGUUCCCAGGGGAGAUUGCUAGAUUUAUUCUUCCUAACAAUAAAAGUGGUUUCCGUAAGAAAUGGGGUAAAUUGACAAGAAAAAUAGCUUCAAUUGAUUUCUCU